GGGGAUUUAGCUCAGCGGUAGAGCGCUUGCCUAGCAAGCACAAGGCCCUGGGUUCAGUCCCCAGCUCCG
Molecule: non-coding RNA, 69 nt
Organism: Rattus norvegicus (Norway rat)
Lineage: Eukaryota; Metazoa; Chordata; Mammalia; Rodentia; Muridae
Source: Rfam